UACGUAGGUGGCAAGCGUUAUCCGGAAUUAUUGGGCGUAAAGCGCGCGUAGGCGGUUUUUUAAGUCUGAUGUGAAAGCCCACGGCUCAACCGUGGAGGGUCAUUGGAAACUGGAAAACUUGAGUGCAGAAGAGGAAAGUGGAAUUCCAUGUGUAGCGGUGAAAUGCGCAGAGAUAUGGAGGAACACCAGUGGCGAAGGCGACUUUCUGGUCUGUAACUGACGCUGAUGUGCGAAAGCGUGGGGAUCAAACAGGAUUAGAUACCNUGGUAGUCAAGGGCG
This 279-nucleotide ribosomal RNA is filed under the name uncultured Staphylococcus sp. RNAcentral describes it as "partial 16S ribosomal RNA". It matches the Rfam family "Bacterial small subunit ribosomal RNA", at positions 524 to 802 of the family's 1533-position model. Lineage: Bacteria; Bacillati; Bacillota; Bacilli; Caryophanales; Staphylococcaceae. The record is from RNAcentral.